CACCCCCAUCUCACCCCAACUCGCUUUCACUGUUAGAGAGGGCUGUGCUUUCGUUUAGUUUCUAACCGUUGGCCUCAGUUGUGCCCUCGGGGUCCUCUUAUAUAAGACACCCUCAAGACAGCCAUCAUGUCAGUUCCCCUAUCAUAUACUUUCUAAACUAAAUAUCUAAAGUUCCUUCAAUUAGCUUCUGUGACAUCUAUCAUGAUGAAACUGCUCCUGGUCUCUAUGUCUCAUCUUUGAAAGCCUUUGCUGAGGGAUUUGCCCGGGUACCUUAACUCCAGGGACUUUCAAGUUUUUAAGUGAAAUCAUGAAGGAAUGUCUGGAAAUUAUUUGAAUUCCUCCAAAGGAGAGCAGUUUUUGUGGUUGUCACUCGAGAAAAGCCUAUGAACGUAAAGAGAGGUAAUAUGAUCAAGCUGGACUCCACCUUACGUGGUUAGGGCAAGUGAGGAAUUGAUGGCAACUGGGAGCCAGCUUUACUCAAGACGUUAAGAAUCUGUGCUACCUCUGAUUUCUUAACAUGUGUAACUUAGACUCCAAAACUGUUUUCGUCUCGCUACAAUAUGAAGGCUUUGCAAGAUCAGCUCAGAGACACAUCCAUACUGCUCUCUGCACCCAGCAACCACGUCUGGACAGCUGUACUGAACAACUAAUGCAGUUCUGACACAAGUGGUAGAUUUGAGUAACUAACGCUGCCUCUCUGUUGUUUUUUUCCUCCCCUUCUUAAUCAAUACCCGUAUAAUUGAUCAGGUAGGCCAUAUGGCCCCUGUGAUUCCCACAUUAAGACAAUUAGGACAGCAGCCAGGUCAUUGCUCAAGCUGGCAUUCUUCAUAACUAAGACAAGAAAACCUAACUCUUUGUCUUCCUCAGAAAAAGCCAACUCCACCUGCUCGUGGGUAUGAUUCAGUACGAAUUCAUGUAAUAUCUAGCUAAAAAGGAGUACAGCCACACUUAGAAAAAAUAUCGCCUAAAAGUGAAUUGUAUGCCAGUAAGUUUCCCCCUGCAGAAUCCAGACUGAAAUGUGAUAGUAAAAAUCUAAUGUGAUAGUGAAACUCUAACUCAAGAAGAGUGAGUAUACAGUGUAGACUAAGAUCUUACACUCUGAGAGAGAGCUGCUGGUCACUGGAGAGUAGGUAGACUCUCCUACUCUAGGACCGAGGGUCAGAGAGGAGGAGUUCGGAGACUGGGGGAUUCUCACAGCUGUGAGCUCUAAAAUGAUGGAGCAGGGGGGGAGGACUUAGAAAUGCAAGGCCAAGUGUAAGGAAAGAUAAAAGACCUAUUUUCUGGCAUCAGGAUUUAUGGAAGGAACCGCUCCCACACUGCAACCCUCUUUUAAUAAGAGAAAGUAACAAGCUAAACAGCAUGUCAUAGCUGAGAUUUCUGGAAAGUCAGCCAUUCUCAGCAUCAUGGAAUCUGUGAAUCGGGAGCCAAUGGGAAGCAAAACAAGUAGCAGUUUGAACAUAGAAUUAUUAUUUUAUUUAGAACAGAAAGAGAAAAUUUACUAAAUAUAUUUACUAAACAUAGGCUAAACAUAUGACCUAUUGGCCAGGAGAUUUAUGCUUCCCUACGUGAUAUGUUCUCCUAACUCCAACCCCCAACCCCCAAGCAGGAGCAGUGGAGGAAGCAAGAACCACCACAGCAGGGUUAGUCCUGGAAACGAUAUUGUGCACCAGCAGACUUCUUGCAGAAGGUUUGCAAGCAUAAGAGAGACCCCUGAAGUACCUGGGCAGCCCACCCACUACUGAAACAAGACAAAAGUGCCUCUGGGAAGGAGAUGACAAAUAUUCCUCUUGUCCUCUUGUCUUCCAUCACUCAAACCAAUUAAAAAGUAGAAUAAAAGUACCUAAAAAGAGGCAAACAACAGCAAUCAAUUCUCCCAGUUUAUAAUCAAACAGGAUUUCAGCAACCAAUGUUGUUAAAAAAAAUUUUUCUACCAUAUGCCUCAUGUGUUACUCUAGUAAAUGAAUUCUUUCAUCAUCAAGAGAGUUUAUAUGACAUUCUCUUGAUGAUGAAAGAAUUUAUUUCCUAGAACAAAACUCUGGAAAAAGUCAUGUUAAGAAUCAUGCUGGCAAGAUUCUUUAUGACCCAGCUCCUAGAGAAAUGGAAAUAAAAACAAAAAUAAACAAAUGGGACCUAAUGAAGCUUAAAA
Molecule: long non-coding RNA, 2146 nt
Organism: Balaenoptera musculus (blue whale)
Lineage: Eukaryota; Metazoa; Chordata; Mammalia; Artiodactyla; Balaenopteridae
Exons: 3
Source: RefSeq, a predicted model, not a curated record